ACGUCGGUGUGGAUUGAUCUCGACACGUGUCCGAUUACCGAUAGAUGUGUAGCUGGUCAGGUCCGUCAGCGGGUAGAAUCGGCUUUGGAUACGAUUGGUAGCUCUGGUCCUCUGACCAUUAAUGUCUUGGGCACCUUGGAGGACACUACGCUUGAUGUCCUGCAAGCGUUAUCUUCCACUGGAAUCGUUGUUCACUACAUCCCACGAGGUACAGGAACAGGAGGUAGCGGGAAAAUUUUGUCGGUUUUGCUUGCUUGGGCACGGGCUAAUCCACCCCCGGCAAAGAUUCUGUUUGUAUCUCUCUCCCUCAAUGUGAACGACAGUUCCAGAUCAUUGUCGUAUCUACAAGAACGAGGCUAUCACAUUCUGGUUGGGUAUGGGGAUACUCCCAAACCUCCUCCAGGCCUGUUCACUUCUGCCACUUGGAAAUGGCAAAGCUUGUUGGAAGGAGUUUCCAUCCCCUGAAUCCCCUCUGGCCUGUUUUCCCUAUCGAUUCAGGGGAAGUGAUGAGAAGUGCAAGUGCUGUGUGUGAUUCUGCACCAGCAGGUUUCUUCAUUUGCAGGCUUUGUUAUGAUUCCACAUCAUCCUCUAAGUAUUUUGUCUGCCAAAACCUUGAAGAUUUCACCACGCAUCUCACCAGUGAAAAACAUAACUGAGAUACUUUAAGCAUCAUCAAAUUGUGGACGAUGAGGAGGAUGAGGACUAUGAGGACGAAGACUCCUUGGCCGUAGGUGAAGGGCAUGGUGGUCAAAGCAGGCCUUAGAUCUUUCCUUUUGAUUAAGGCUGCUACUGCCAUGGUGAAAGCCAAAGCAACUACCAUGAUGAAGAGUCAAUCAAAGGUUUCAAUUUCUGUUAAAAUUUCUUUGAUGGCUUAGUUGCUUUUAGUCACUCCUGUAUCUUUCCUUUUGAUUAAGGCUGCUACUGUCAUGGUGAAAGCCAAAGCAACUACCAUGAUGAAGAGUCAAUCAAAGGUUUCAAUUUCUGUUAAAAUUUCUUUGAUGGCUUAGUUGCUUUUAGUCACUCCUGUAUCUUUUCUUUUGAGGUCUAAGAAACAAGACAGUAUAUAUAGACCAAUUUAUUUGAUGCAUAAUCAACAUUGAUUUUUUUCCAAUGUUAGGAAAAGUGCUA
Camelina sativa (false flax) is the source of this 1128-nucleotide long non-coding RNA. RefSeq lists it as uncharacterized. NCBI's taxonomy places the organism in Eukaryota, Viridiplantae, Streptophyta, Magnoliopsida, Brassicales, Brassicaceae. The record is from RefSeq and is a predicted model, not a curated record.